GGGCUAGUAGCUCAGCUUGGAUAGAGCGCCUGCCUUCUAAGCAGGAGGUCGGGGGUUCGAAUCCUCCCUGGCCCG
Molecule: transfer RNA, 75 nt
Filed under: Candidatus Woesearchaeota archaeon
Lineage: Archaea; Nanobdellati; Candidatus Woesearchaeota
Description: tRNA-Arg
Rfam family: tRNA
About the family: Transfer RNA (tRNA) molecules are approximately 80 nucleotides in length. Their secondary structure includes four short double-helical elements and three loops (D, anti-codon, and T loops).
Source: RNAcentral